This is a long non-coding RNA of Choloepus didactylus (southern two-toed sloth), 433 nucleotides long. RefSeq lists it as uncharacterized. The record is from RefSeq and is a predicted model, not a curated record. The transcript is spliced from 3 exons. NCBI's taxonomy places the organism in Eukaryota, Metazoa, Chordata, Mammalia, Pilosa, Megalonychidae.
CUGUGAGAUCCUGAGGGCAGGGGCUCGUCUGCUCCUGGGCACUCCUGGAAUGCAGCACAGGCUCUGACACAAGACUAAAUGUUCCAGAAGAGUUCUCGAAAAUGACCGCCAUAGGAAGACAUCGUCACAGCCAAACUGAAUGACAGGCUGACUAAAAGAAUGAGAAAAGUUGCUGAGGAAGAUGCUACCAGUCUCUUUUGCCAUGUGACUUUGCAAUUCCUCUUACUAGAGGCCACCUGGUUGAUGCUAGAUGUGGAUGAGAUUUGUUUGGGGCUGAAGUUCCAAGGCUAGACCUGAAGAAGCAUCCAGUGUUUCUGCUCUCCCCUCUUGUCCUUCUGUCCUCACUUGGGAACUCAUGCACAGGGUGGCUAGUGGCCCAUGGAAGACGGGAGUCGUGCAGAGCAGACCUGGGCCAAACCUGAAGCUGAGUGCC